Molecule: ribosomal RNA, 459 nt
Filed under: uncultured bacterium
Lineage: Bacteria
Description: partial 16S ribosomal RNA
Rfam family: Bacterial small subunit ribosomal RNA
Source: RNAcentral
CCUACGGGGUGCAGCAGUGAGGAAUAUUGGUCAAUGGUCGGGAGACUGAACCAGCCAAGCCGCGUGAGGGAUGAAGGUACAGAGUAUCGUAAACCUCUUUUGUCAGGGAACAAAGGCGGGGACGUGUCCCCGGAUGAGUGUACCUGAAGAAAAAGCAUCGGCUAACUCCGUGCCAGCAGCCGCGGUAAUACGGAGGAUGCGGGCGUUAUCCGGAUUUAUUGGGUUUAAAGGGUGCGCAGGCGGUCUGUUAAGUCAGCGGUAAAAGCCCGGGGCUCAACCCCGGCCCGCCGUUGAAACUGGCAGUCUCGAGUUGGAGAGAAGUAUGCGGAAUGCGCGGUGUAGCGGUGAAAUGCAUAGAUAUCGCGCAGAACUCCGAUUGCGAAGGCAGCAUGCCGGAUCCACACUGACGCUGAGGCACGAAAGCGUGGGUAUCGAACAGGAUUAGAUACCCGAGUAGUC